Molecule: long non-coding RNA, 8339 nt
Filed under: Citrus x clementina
Lineage: Eukaryota; Viridiplantae; Streptophyta; Magnoliopsida; Sapindales; Rutaceae
Description: Citrus clementina (C. clementina) long non-coding RNA (CCLE_LNC002355)
Source: RNAcentral
AUGCAAAACUAGUGCAUAAAUUGCACUCUAACAAAUUCCCCCACACCAAGAUGAUGCUUGUCCUCAAGCAUCUAACUCAAGACUAAUCUCAAAUCUCCACUAAAUUCUCAUCUCAACUCAUCCAAAAACAAUUUUAAGCAAGUAUACCUCAAGAAAUUAAGUCGAUCAACAUUCGAGAGACAAGGAUUUUAAAGCAUAGAAUCUCAUAAGAUAGAAUAAGAACAUUCAACCACUAAGAAGAUCCAUUCAAAAUUCAAGUGCAACAAGAUUGAAUAGCCCUCUCAUUGACUUCACUCCAUGCACUCAAAGUGUUUAGGGUGUCAUUUAUUCACUCAAAUCAAAUCAAAGAAUGCUAUUACCAUAAACUUGCUCAUAUAUCACAUCUCAAUCCACAAAACAUGAAUAAAAUGCAAGAAUCUAAGGGUUUUAAAAGGGUUGUAAUGGGGUUAAAUAGGUUAAAUGAAAAAGAAAAGUUUACGAAAGAAAAAGAGAUCAAAAUGAGAAGAAUGAACUCAUUGAAUGAACUUAUGAUAUCAAAUGUUUAUUUCUACUCAAGUCACCAAGAAUGUAAACUUUUUUUUUCGAUUUUUCUUUUUCUCUUUUUUUUUCUUUUUCCUUUUUUUGUUGUUGUUUUUUUUUUUUAAUCAAACAAAAGAAACGAACCUUGCACAAUUUAAUUCAAGCAUAAUGCUUGUUGAUCUAAUUGAGAAACUUUAAUACAAGGUAGAAAAAGCAACAAAAUAUAUCCACACAAUGAGUCCAAAAAUCUCCUUAAAUUGAGGCUCAAAAAGAAGAAAAAUGGUUAAGUAGACGGAGAGAAUUAGAUGGGUAAUGGUUAAGGCUCAAACAAAGAUAGCAAAUAAAGAUCUUCGGGUAGAGAAAAAAAAAAGCGAGAAUAGAAAAAUGGAAAAGGGUUUGCCCUUAUCAUUUUAAUGCAAAAAAUCCCGUAAUGCGGCUUCAACAUGCAUAACAAAGCAAGUUCUAGAAUAAACAAACUAAGAUUGAUAUUCACAUAACAAAAAUAUUAGAGCAAAGUGGUUGCUCAUAGGCUCAAAUCCUCACAAAGUUGGUAAAUUUGCCAUCAAAUCAUGUACACUCUUCAAAUGAAUCAACCAUCAAUAGUGGUGUAGAAUGAGAAGAAGGUAGGAGUGAUAUAUAAAAGGAAAUGUAAAAAUGAUAAGAAGUGAGAAAGAUGUAUGUAGAAUAUGAAAAGUGAAAGAUAAAAUGUGAGUGAUGAAAAAGUAUGAUAGAAUAAAAAUAGAUGUAAAUAAUUUGAGAUAGAUGGAAAAAGAGUAGUGAGAAAGAAAAGAAAAGAAAAAUAAUAAUAUAUGAAGCAUACUAACUCCAAAAUCAUUUAAGGAUGAGUAGAGUGAAAAUAGAUGAGUAGAGUGAAAAUAAUACUUUCAGACAUCAAUAAUGCAAAAAUCUCUCCCCCACGCUAAGAACUUACAUUGUCCCUAAUGUAAGAUAAUCAAAGCUCACAUAAAAGAUUAAAAGCAAAAACUUCCCUGAAUUAUGAGCUUUGAUCCUCAUAAAGUCUAUGGACUUGGCGGAAAUGGUGGGAUAAAUCCCACACUCUCGAAGUAUGCAGCCAAAUUCUGCUCCAUCUUGUUCAGCUUGUGCUCCAUUUUCUCUAACUGAAUGCUCAAAGGUGGUGCGGAUGUAGAAGGAAUAGUCGGCGGGGCAGCAGUGUCGUCGUCAAACUCGUCAUCAGAGGUAGCACCACUUCUAGCAUAGAGCUUCUUUCUUUCUCUUGUUGAGUCGUGAAUGCGAGGCACCCUCCGAGAUUGGAUUCCGCAAGUGGCAAAACACUCAUGCCUUUUCCAUGUUUCGAUCUUUGUCUCACAGCUUGGCGUGAAUCUGAAACUGUGUUCCAUGGAACCGUAGUGGGAGCGGCAAUCUUGGAUUUCUUUGCGACGGGUAUCUUUUUAGAUGACUUGAAAGUUGAUGCUUUCCUCUUCGGCAUUGUUACAAUAAUUUCACUCACGAAUUUCGAUUCACUCGGCUGGAAUACAGGGCGUAGGCUGGUUGCAGACGAUUGCUGCUCGGCUGGAGCUUGGCGCAAUGGUGGAUCGCUGGUUGCGCGCUGGUGACGAUGGUUGCGUGCGGGAUGCUGCGCGCUGGGGCUGAUUCUGCUGCGCGCUGCUGGGGCUGGUUCUGCUGCGCUAGUGGGCUGCUGGAUCUGCGCGCUGGGGUUGAUUACACGCGAGAGCUGGGCUGACGCUGGUUCUGCGCGCUGCUGGGCAAAGGCUGGAUCUGCGUGCGUGGGUUGCUGCGUGGCUGCUCGGUGAAGGCUGGAUCUGCGCGCGCGCGGGAUGGAGCUGGUUGCGCGCACAGUUGCUGCUGCUGCUGCGUGGGCUGGUUUGCGAUGGUGGAUUGUGGUGCUGCGUGGCUGCUCGGUGAAGGCUGGAGAAGAAAACCAAUUCUGUGAAUUAGGGAUUUUGUGAACAGUAAAUUUUUUUUUCAAAUAAAAAAUAUAUAUAUAUAUAAAAGAAAGAAAAGAAAGAAAAAAAAAGUUUUUUUUUCGUUUUUUUAUUUUCAAAUAAAUAAAUAAUUUUUUUUUUUUUUAUGAUGAACCACUUUGAGACACAAAAAAUAAAUUUCAGAAGUACUUUUCUAAUAAGCACGUGGGCACGCCUUAAAACCAUUUUGCGUUAAAAAUCACAGAAGUACUUAUUAGUUAAGACGUGGGCACGCCUUAUAAAAAAUUUUCUUCUGACCAAAAUAAGCAAACACAUUAUUUUUUUUUAAAAAAAAAUCUGAAUCAAAAUUAAAAGAAGAUAUAACAAAAACCAAAAUAAAUAAAUCAUUUGGGUUGCCUCCCAAAAAGCGCCUUUGUUUUAUGUCUUUGGCUAGACACAUUUAUGCAUCAAUCUCCAUAAUUGGGACUCUCGAGAGCCACAUCCUCCACAAUAUUCACCGAAAAACCUUUAUAAAAAAGGUUUUAAGCGAUGACCGUUAACCUUAAAAACUUUGUCAGAGGUCGGACUCCGAAUCUCAACUGCACCAUGAGGAAAAACAUUAGUAACAAUAAAAGGUCCAACCCAACAAGAACGUAAUUUACCCGGAAAAAGUUUAAGCUUAGAAUGAAAAAGAAGAACUUUUUGACCAACGGAGAACUCCUUUCUCAAAAUCAUUCUAUCAUGAAAUGUCUUCGUUUUUUCCUUGUAAAAAACUUCCUGCACUAUAGGGUUAAUAACAUCCACAGAAAAUACCGAAUGUUCCUCACUAGGAUAUUUCAUGGCAUCAUUCAUAUUGAAUUCUAUAACCUCUCCAUCAAAUUCCAUAGUGAGAGUCCCUUUAUGUACAUCCAUUUUAGUCUUAGCAGUCUUAAGAAAAGGUCUUCCUAGCAAAAUUGGGACAAAAUUGGAGGAGUUAUCCUCUUCCAUAUCAAGUACAUAAAAAUCAGCAGGAAAAACCAACUCAUUAACUUGUACUAAGACAUCUUCUAAUACCCCAUCAGGAUAUGCAUUAGACCUAUCAGCUAGUUGAAUUAUCACGCCAGUUUCUUUUAAUGGACCAACAUUCAAAGAUGAAUAAAUGGAACGAGGCAUGACAUUAAUAGAAGCUCCUAGAUCUAACAAAGCCUUUUCAAUUCUAACACUACCAAUUUUACAAGGGAUAGUAAACAUACCUGGAUCCUUGCACUUAGGAGGUAGUUUCUUUUGGAGAACUGCUGAAACAUUCUCCCCCAUGUGAACUUUUUCAUCUCCUCUUAAUUUUCUCUUAGAGGUGCAUAGUUCCUUAAGGACUUUAGCAUAUUGAGGUAUUUGUUUUAUAGCAUCUAAUAAAGGAAUAUUUACCUCAACCUUGCGAAAUGUCUCAAGGAUGUCUUUCUCUUGUUCCUCCUUCUUGGAUUUUGCAAACCGACUUGGAAAAGGAGGAGGUAUCACAAUAGGUAGGGGUUUCGCUCUGGUGGGUUCCGCAUCUUGAGAUUGAGGCAUCAAUUCAUUCUUUUCAAGCUCAUCUUCUACAUGUUUUGUCACUUUUUUACUAGGUUCUUGCAACUCCUUCCCACUUCUAAGGAUGACAGCACUAACGUUUUGCUUUGGAUUCACCUCAGAUUGUGAAGGCAAUCUCCCUAAUACUUGAGACUUCAGACGGCUCACUGUAGUCGCCAAUUGACUCAUUUGGUUCUCCAAAUUCUGAAUGCUUGCUGUAGUUGCCUGCUGAAAUUGUUGAGUGUUAGUCGCAAGUGAUUUAACAAUUUCUUCAAGAGAUAUACCUGACUUGGAGUUUGACUGUGGAGGUGCUGGUUGUCUUGGUGGAUACUGUUGUGGGAAUCCUGACGGCCUAACUCCAUAGCUGAAGUUAGGAUGAUCCUUCUAUCCCGGAUUGUAUGUUUGUGCAUAAGGAUCAUACCUCCUCUGAAGCAUGCCUGGAAAUCCUCCAGCUGCAUUAGCUUGCUCAACGAGUUCUUCUUGAAGGGUAGGACAUAUAUCAGUUGAAUGACCCAUAUUGUAACAAAUGCCACAAGUCUUCACCUAUUGCACAUUACCUACAACAAACUUUUCCACAAGAGAAGUAAGUUUAUCUAAACGUUGUUCAACAGAAGAAAUAUUUACCUCAUUCACAUUCCUUGAAGUGGGAUCUUGCCUGCUGCCAAAUUGUUGUGCAUUGGCAGCCAUAUUUGAGAUCAACUCUCUUGCUUGAGUAGGGGUUUUGUUCACCAACACACCUCCACUAGCAGCAUCUAUCAUACUCCUAUCAAUUAAUGAUAGUCCUUCGUAAAAAUAUUGAAUAAGAAGUUGAUCAGAAAUCUAAUGCUGAGGACAGCUGGCACACAAUUGUUUGAAUCGCUCCUAAUACUCAUACAAAGUCUCCCUAGGAAGUUGUCUGAUCCCACAAAUAUCUUUUCUGAUGUUUGCAGCUCUUGAAGCAGGAAAGUACUUCUCGAGGAACUGCUUCUUCAAACCAUUCCAUGUUGUAAUCGAUCCAGGAGGCAAGUAGUACAACCAAUCUUUAGCUAGUCCAUCUAAAGAGAAAGGAAAAACACGCAGCUUAAUCUGCUCUUCAGUCACGCCUUGUGGUCUCAUACUUGAACAUACAACAUGAAACUCCUUGAGAUGUUUAUGAGGAUCUUCACCUGCAAAACCAUGAAACUUGGGUAAUAAAUGAAUAAGACCAGACUUUAAUUCAAAAUUUACCUCCAAGUCUACAUAUUGAAUGCAGAGUGGUUGUUGAUUCAAGUCUGGUUCAGCUAACUCUCUAAGAGUUCUUUCUACAGGUGCAGGUCUAUCCAUCACUUGUUCUUCUGAAUCGCUAGAUGAUUCAACUAAAUCAGGCACCGUAUCUGUUUCAGAAAGCAAAGGCAACGAGGAUCGUUACUUAGCUCGCUUCGUCUGCUGUCUCAACUGGCGAGCUGUCUUCUCAAUUUCAGGAUCAAACGAAAGUGUACCUGUACGAGAAGAACGAACCAUACACCAAGUAAAACGUAAAAAGGAUUAAAUAAAUGACACCAAUCCCCAGCAACGGCGCCAAAAUUUGAUGGGUGUCGAAGCCAACAAAAAUAAAUUCCUACUCUAAAUAAAUUGUGUAUAGUGAUUGAGCAGGGUCGUGUCCACAGAGAUCGGUAAUUAUUUAAAUCCUUCUAAAACGUAAAACAUAAAAUAGGGGUUUUGUUGACAAUAAUAAAAAUCAAAUUAAAAUAACAAGAAUGCAAAUUAAAGUUGUAAUUCAAAUUGGAGAAAGCUCUGGUUGAAGGAAUUAACUCAGCUUCAUUCGACUACUGAUCAUUGAUUCAAAUAUAGAUUAUUAUUACUUAUGAAUAGACCGGUUAUAGCUAUUGAGACCCUCUAAUAGCCAAUCUCUCCUUAAAUAGUCGAUAACCAAGAUACGACCGUUGGAUAUUUCCCUAAUCAAUAGACAACCCUAGAUACGAUCAUAGGAUUUAAUCAAUUGACAACCUGAAAAACCAGAGAGACCCAAAUCCUAAUCAACACAUAUGAUGAUUCAUUUAAAUUAGAUUGUUUAUUCUCAUAACACAACUCACUGCUAUGUUAUUUGUCAUAAACAUUAAAAUCUUCAUACGAUGAAUCCUUUAAUUGACAAUAGAUUAAGUUGAUAAUUAAAUAGUGGCCAAUUACCUAAUUAACAAACAUAAUCAUGAAACUAAUUCAGAGAAUAAACAAAUACCCAAAAAGUAAUAAAACAAUUAAAGCAUAAGAAAGAUCUCACAGUAGUGAUGAAUCAAAGCUUCAUUAACCUUCAACCAGAAAAAUAGGUUUAGUUCUUCAUAGAGAGAAGAGAAAAGUUUAGAUCUAGGGUUUUCUUCUCUUUCUCCCCUCCAAAAUCCCCUUUUUUCACAAUAGAUUCCUCUCUUAAAUACUCUCUCUCUCUUCUCCUCUAGAAUUCUAUUUAAAAUAAAAUACUAAUAUCUAAAAUAUUAAAUUCGUAAUUACAAAAAUAACCAAAAAUACAAAACACGUUAAACUAAAAACUGCAGGUCCGUAGUUGACAGCACGCGCCCACGCCUUAUCAACAAAGUUCUUCUGCCGCUCAUAAUUUCUCCAAGAGAACAAUCAUCCUUAAACAUCAUCUUGUAGCUCAAUUUUAUCACCAAUUAAUAGAAUUGCACCUACAAAAGUAAAUCACAAGUAAAUCACUAUUAUUAAGUGCAAAACAUGAUAUUAAGGGAAGUAAACAAUGCAAAACUAGUGCAUAAAUUGCACUCUAACAAAUUCCCCCACACCAAGAUGAUGCUUGUCCUCAAGCAUCUAACUCAAGACUAAUCUCAAAUCUCCACUAAAUUCUCAUCUCAACUCAUCCAAAAACAAUUUUAAGCAAGUAUACCUCAAGAAAUUAAGUCGAUCAACAUUCGAGAGACAAGGAUUUUAAAGCAUAGAAUCUCAUAAGAUAGAAUAAGAACAUUCAACCACUAAGAAGAUCCAUUCAAAAUUCAAGUGCAACAAGAUUGAAUAGCCCUCUCAUUGACUUCACUCCAUGCACUCAAAGUGUUUAGGGUGUCAUUUAUUCACUCAAAUCAAAUCAAAGAAUGCUAUUACCAUAAACUUGCUCAUAUAUCACAUCUCAAUCCACAAAACAUGAAUAAAAUGCAAGAAUCUAAGGGUUUUAAAAGGGUUGUAAUGGGGUUAAAUAGGUUAAAUGAAAAAGAAAAGUUUACGAAAGAAAAAGAGAUCAAAAUGAGAAGAAAAGUUUACGAAAGAAAAAGAGAUCAAAAUGAGAAGAAUGAACUCAUUGAAUGAACUUAUGAUAUCAAAUGUUUAUUUCUACUCAAGUCACCAAGAAUGUAAACUUUUUUUUUUCGAUUUUUCUUUUUCUCUUUUUUUUACAAAAGAAACGAACCUUGCACAAUUUAAUUCAAGCAUAAUGCUUGUUGAUCUAAUUGAGAAACUUUAAUACAAGGUAGAAAAAGCAACAAAAUAUAUCCACACAAUGAGUCCAAAAAUCUCCUUAAAUUGAGGCUCAAAAAGAAGAAAAAUGGUUAAGUAAAUUGAGGCUCAAAAAGAAGAAAAAUGGUUAAGUAGACGGAGAGAAUUAGAUGGGUAAUGGUUAAGGCUCAAACAAAGAUAGCAAAUAAAGAUCUUCGGGUAGAGAAAAAAAAAAGCGAGAAUAGAAAAAUGGAAAAGGGUUUGCCCUUAUCAUUUUAAUGCAAAAAAUCCCGUAAUGCGGCUUCAACAUGCAUAACAAAGCAAGUUCUAGAAUAAACAAACUAAGAUUGAUAUUCACAUAACAAAAAUAUUAGAGCAAAGUGGUUGCUCAUAGGCUCAAAUCCUCACAAAGUUGGUAAAUUUGCCAUCAAAUCAUGUACACUCUUCAAAUGAAUCAACCAUCAAUAGUGGUGUAGAAUGAGAAGAAGGUAGGAGUGAUAUAUAAAAGGAAAUGUAAAAAUGAUAAGAAGUGAGAAAGAUGUAUGUAGAAUAUGAAAAGUGAAAGAUAAAAUGUGAGUGAUGAAAAAGUAUGAUAGAAUAAAAAUAGAUGUAAAUAAUUUGAGAUAGAUGGAAAAAGAGUAGUGAGAAAGAAAAGAAAAGAAAAAUAAUAAUAUAUGAAGCAUACUAACUCCAAAAUCAUUUAAGGAUGAGUAGAGUGAAAAUAGAUGAGUAGAGUGAAAAUAAUACUUUCAGACAUCAAUAAUGCAAAAAUCUCUCCCCCACGCUAAGAACUUACAUUGUCCCUAAUGUAAGAUAAUCAAAGCUCACAUAAAAGAUUAAAAGCAAAAACUUCCUGAAUUAUGAGCUUUGAUCCUCAUAAAGUCUAUGGACUUGGCGGAAAUGGUGGGAUAAAUCCCACACUCUCGAAGUAUGCAGCCAAAUUCUGCUCCAUCUUGUUCAGCUUGUGCUCCAUUUUCUCUAACUGAAUGCUCAAAGGUGGUGCGGAUG